AAAGCAUCUGUGCUUUGGUUCUGUUUGUGCAUAUAUAGAGACAGGACUGGCAACUGUUCUAUAACCCAAAUGUGGCCCACUGUUAAGAGACCUGUUCUACCACAGCCAGAAGGGCUAUCUAAUGCAGGACUGUGUGAACUAAAUGUUAGCUAUUGUUGUUAAUAUUAGUUCCUCACAUAUAAGAAUGAUCAGUCCUGGACUUUUUGUUGUUACUAGUCUCUGUGACACAGAGGCUUAUUUCUAUGAACCUGCGGUUCAGGACAAAAUUAUACUCUGUGCUGAUGUCAUUUCAUGUCACUUUGAUAGUUCCCGGAACUUUUCGGUCAAAUAAUGCCAAAUGCAUAUUAUAAGACCACACGGAUAACCACUGCAAUUCACUGUCAUUCAUCUGAUACACUUUAUAUAGACAUCUAAAUACUCAGAUGCCACACUGCUAUUUAUGUCAUGUGAUUAAGUUUUCCUAGCAAAGGCUCAAGGUUAAGAUGAAGGAAAUGGGUCUCAUCUACGAUUCUGAGAGAAGUAGGAAGGAUGUGAAUGUGGCCUGAGAGACAACAGUGGGAACAAGAAUCACAGACAGGCCACUGUGUUGGAGGGAGUUCAACAGAGAGCAGCAUUUUGCGGUGUGUGCUGUCUGUGCACUAAUGAGUGCAGAAAGGGAAGGGGGGGGGAGAAAAAAAAAAAAAAAAAAAAAAAAAAAAAAAAAAAAAAAAGAAGGGGGGUGGACAGAAUCGCUAUGGAGAUCUGAGUGUUAAUAGGCAUUUGUGCUCUGUAGAUGUAGCUGCAAGUAAACUAAAGCCAAAGCAGCAACCCAAGGAACUGAACUCAGAAAGCACUCAGAAAGUAGUGCACUACUGAAAAACAGCAAGUUACUCAGGAGGAAUGAACCUAGCUUGGUCUUGUUGAACGUGGUGACCCCAACCACUCUGCCUGCUCAUUCUUAACUUUCUCUUCAUGGUUUUGUGCUGGACGUAGGACACAUCAAGUCCUAUAGAAAUCUACUGGAAAAUGUUUCUUUUUUUGCAUCUAAACAUUUUGCCAUUAAGCUUAUAGUCUCAGUCACUCAUUUUGGGUCAUAUUGAAUUUAUAUUCUGCUAGAAAACAGGUACAAUGAUUUAUUGAAACAGGCGCAAAUACACAUGAACAUACAGUGUAAGGCAACAAAAAAAGUGUUUGCACUAUUCUAACAAAAUUUAUCAUUCAACACAGCCUAAACUCUCGCACUGAAGCCUUCUUGUAAUUUCUGUCAGUAGUCUCCAGGAACAGUUCUUUAGGCUUCUUGAAAAACAUUCAAAGAUCUCAUUUGGCAAACAAUGGGUGGAUCAACUCAAAGGCCAGAUGCAUUUCCCAGGUCCUGUAUCAGGUCUCUGCACACCAAGCAGAGAUAUGCCAAGUUUUCAGCCAAUAGCUCUUUGAGAAUUAACUUGUAAAAUUAUAUUUUUGCACCGACAUCUGUCAAACUGUCAUCUUUGAAAUUUUUUGCACAUUCAACUAAAGAAAUGAGAGCAAAUUAUGUGUUUUUGCAACAAGCUGCUGGUAACAAAGCACUUAAAGUUACAAUUCAUAACAUAUACAUUGUGAAGUCUUCUGCUAUGUGUAGACAUAACACAGAACAGCGAAGUAUUUGGUUAAUGGUGAGUUUAAGAUUUCAUUUAUCCAAACUCACCAUUAUGUGCGUGGUCGCUAUUUUUUCUAAGGUCCAUAUUGGUUAACAAUGAAAAGCCAUCUCAUCGGGGAUUCAAACCUCUUACACCCCAAGUUUGAAUCAGUAGUUUAUAAUGGUUCAUGAUGUUUUAGUUUCUUAUCUUUUCAGAAACAUGUCUGUAUACAGGAAAGGCUGUUACGUGAUUGUCUUAAGCCCAAGCAUCUUACAAAACACAAAUGUUUGUACUGUAAGCCAGUACUAGACUGACGUAGAGCAAAAGUUAUUUGAGCAAGAGUCUAACUGGGUGAAAUGACCAAAAUUAGUUUAUUUUGUGUUCCGUGCUUCCUGUUUUCAUCACAAUCAGAAUCAGAAUACUUUAUUAAUCCCGAAGGAAAUUAGGGUUACAGCAGGCAGCACGCUAAUGGCGCAUGCUGUACUUACAAAGGAACCUUCUGACCAACUUUAAAAAAUAAAUAAAUAAAAAUACAUAACAUGAGUUAAGAGGAGGAGGGGGAAAAAAAUACAUAACAUGAGGUAAGAGGAGGAGGGGGAAAAAAAAAACAAAAACUCUACUCAGACUGAGCUCCUAGUGGGAGAACAGUUUGAUAAUAGAAAAAAACACCUCAGCACAAAAAGCACAUGACUGUCAAUACACCAUAGAAACACAAGACAAGCAACAGGGGCAGGUAAAGGGUAAGAGAGAGCCGGUGUAGACAGCGCAUCCGGUCCUGCAGCAUGUCUGCGCUGGUCCAGUUGACUGCCAUCUUCCCCGGUAGGGCACAAGCAUCGAAGGCGUUUGGAAAGGGAGGGGGGGAGUCAGUGUAUGUGUGUGUCCAGAGUUCAGCUGAGACAGUGUCCUUCGCCCCGCCAGGCUAAGUAAACAGUCUUCCAGCCAACCCAGGUGGCCUUGCAUGGAAUGGGGGGAACAGUCUAAACACAGUCGUUAUGAGGGUGUUUUGUUCAGCUCCAGCCUUGAGGCCGCAGCUGGCGUCGAAGGGGUCUCCGCAUGAAGUGAUGAUAGUUUUUACUUUAGUGCGAACAACUCAUAAAUUUCAAAGCUGUUCUAACAGUCCAACACUGGUCUCUCAAUCUCCCCUUGGAGAGCCGUGAGCUUUCUAUGAUGUUAUCCAAACUUACGUUCCAAGCUCCAAAGAGCUGGCGAAUGGAAGUAGAGCACAAGACCAACAGACGGUCUAACUGACAAUCAUUCACAAAUUACUUUUUAUUAUAGUAUACUGAAACUAUGAAAUCAAAUUCAGUCUACUUCAAUCACAAGACUAACCUUACGGAGUACAUCCACUGACUGGAGCACUUUAGAAAAACUAAGUGCUAACAUUAAAACCAUUAAUCCAUUUAAAGAGAGGAAAUUGCAAUAAACCACACCCAAACAGCCUCAAACGUACACUUUUACAUCUGAUGCAAUAAUAACUCAAAUGUGUGACGAAAAGUAAACUCUCCUAUGAGAAUCAAGUACAAAUCUUUUUUCCAUGUUGGUCAGAUCUUUUUUGAUCCUUUUGCAUUUCUUCCUCUUUACUGUAAUGUAAAACAUGUUUACAGAUUAUUUAAAUGAUAGAGUGAAAAAUCUUGCCGUAUAAUAACAAAAGCUCCCAGUGAAACUUCUGAAAUACACUGAGGACUCAUGUAACCUCUAGAUUGCAUAAGUCAUUCAGCCUUAGAAGUGAGGAAGUAGGGGGUGAAAAAAAUGUCUCAAACAAGUACACAAAAACUGUGGAGUACAUUUGCAAAUGUAAAGAAAUUAGCAUACAUAUAACAGAGAUACAGAGAUGUAAUUUGAUGCUCUAUGUAUAUGAGUUUAUGUGACAACGAAUUUAAUGUCAUGUUACGCUGUUACUUGGAAGUAAUGGAACAAAUUACUUAAUGACCCAUCAGAGAAAGUAACACUGCAUUAUUUUUAAGAAAAGUAAUGAAUAAUAUGCAAUUUAUUAUUUUAUUUAAUUUCUUGCCCCACUCUUUUUUUUUUUGUAACACCCCUAACACUGAUGAGGUAAGUUUCUAAAGACUAAAGGUAGCUCCAAACAAAUGUUUCAUUGAAUUUGUUGCACUUGAGAUCUAAGCUCAAUCAUAUGUGUAAUCAUGUGCGCUAGUCUAUCCUGUCUGUUUGUCUUUCAAAUAUAAGGGAGGAGCUUGUUCUCUUUAUUCUACUCCUGCUUGAAGUCAAGUAAACCCCACUGGGCAUAAGAUACUGUCUCAUUCUGGGCAGGAUGCUUGAACGUAUAGUUUCACACACUCUCUCACACACACACACACACAACACUACUGAACAGUGUGAGUCAGCGCAUACCAGUGAUACCUGCUAGGAAGAAGAACCUGCUAGGAGGAGUUUUACCUUCACAGUGUAUGCAGAAACAAAGCCUGCUCAGCAUCUUGCCUGGAAACUCCCUUGAAUUGUCCACCCAUUAACACAAACAAUGGCACUCCUGAGUUUAGAUAAAACAUGUGCACAAAAGCAUGUUUUGUGAUCAGCAUUGUUUGCACUUGAGUUGUUAUUUGACAGGUUCAGGUGACUGGGUUUAAACUUUCUCUGCGUUCUGGCAUUUAGGUAAAAAGGUAUGUGGAGCCACAUUUCCAAUGGAUUUUAGAGACAACCAGUCAAUUUCACAUUACCAGAAUAUAC
Long non-coding RNA from Astatotilapia calliptera (eastern happy), 4277 nucleotides. Lineage: Eukaryota; Metazoa; Chordata; Actinopteri; Cichliformes; Cichlidae. The record is from Ensembl.